CCCAGACUCCUACGGGAGGCAGCAGUGGGGGAUAUUGCACAAUGGGGGAAACCCUGAUGCAGCGACGCCGCGUGAGUGAAGAAGUAUUUCGGUAUGUAAAGCUCUAUCAGCAGGGAAGAAAAAAGACGGUACCUGACUAAGAAGCCCCGGCUAACUACGUGCCAGCAGCCGCGGUAAUACGUAGGGGGCAAGCGUUAUCCGGAUUUACUGGGUGUAAAGGGAGCGUAGACGGCAAUACAAGUCGGAAGUGAAAUACCCGGGCUUAACCUGGGAACUGCUUUGGAAACUGUAUGGCUGGAGUGCUGGAGAGGUAAGCGGAAUUCCUAGUGUAGCGGUGAAAUGCGUAGAUAUUAGGAGGAACACCAGUGGCGAAGGCGGCUUACUGGACAGUAACUGACGUUGAGGCUCGAAAGCGUGGGGAGCAAACAGGAUUAGAUACCCCAGUA
RNAcentral lists this ribosomal RNA (446 nucleotides) under uncultured bacterium. RNAcentral's name for it is "bacterial SSU rRNA". It matches the Rfam family "Bacterial small subunit ribosomal RNA", at positions 330 to 792 of the family's 1533-position model. The record is from RNAcentral.